RNAcentral lists this ribosomal RNA (447 nucleotides) under uncultured bacterium. RNAcentral describes it as "bacterial SSU rRNA". It matches the Rfam family "Bacterial small subunit ribosomal RNA", at positions 355 to 825 of the family's 1533-position model. The record is from RNAcentral.
UGGGGAAUCUUGGACAAUGGGCGCAAGCCUGAUCCAGCCAUGCCGCGUGGAUGAUGAAGGCCUUAGGGUUGUAAAAUCCUUUCGUUGGGGACGAUAAUGACGGUACCCAAAGAAGAAGCUCCGGCUAACUUCGUGCCAGCAGCCGCGGUAAUACGAAGGGGGCUAGCGUUGUUCGGAUUUACUGGGCGUAAAGCGCGUGUAGGCGGACUUGUAAGUUGGGGGUGAAAUCCCGAGGCUCAACCUCGGAACUGCCUCCAAAACUACAAGUCUGGACCUAAGUAGAGGCAAGUGGAAUUGCGAGUGUAGAGGUGAAAUUCGUAGAUAUUCGCAGGAACACCAGUGGCGAAGGCGACUUGCUGGACUUAUGGUGACGCUGAGACGCGAAAGCGUGGGGAGCAAACAGGAUUAGAUACCCGAGUAGUCCCUGAGCGGGCUGGCAAGGCGCAU